UUUAAUCUCGCAAAAAUUCUAUAUAUAUAUAUAUAUAUAUUGAAAACAGUCAAAUAUUUUGCCUGAAAUCCUUAAGAUCAGAAGUCCGAUGGGGCACUCGUUGAGCAGUUAGCUCAUGUGCCCCGCCGCCUUCAAAUCCUGGGUCUGUCUCUGCAUCCAGGUUUCCUUUUCAUGUAGUUGUAGAAAUGGUCGAGGACCUCCUUUUUAUUCUCUUAUUCUUUUGUUUGUUUUUAAUUUCUGAUUUGUUGUGUAUCUGUGAUUUGAUUUGUCAAAUAGAGUUUUUCACUGGAUAAGAAAACAGGGAAGAAAUGUUAUAUGGUGGCAGCAAGGGAACUUGCUAUUUCAUGGGGUGAUGAACCGCAGUAUUGACUGUUAAGAAAACUAUAAGCGCAACAGAAUACUUAAAAGCAGGAAAUAUCUCAAAGAGUAAGAAAAUUGGAAUUUAUGGUAAUGAUGCAAAAGAUACAAACAUUCCUGUACAAGUGUGAAGAUACUACCUGCUAACAAACAAGCCAGAGUGAGUCUUUGAUGAUGUUUUUUAUUGGUUGAUCCAAAUCACACAGUGCCCCUUUAUACAUUUGUCGAAGAUAAUGAAUUCUUAUUGUUGGUGUCAGACACUUUAUUUACAUGAGCAGAUUUACAAAGUUAAACAUUGGGCUGCUGCUAAGCAAAGGGCAGCUCGGUGCAUUAAACUCUCGCUAUGCGCGGGAUACGGGGAAGGAUCGAACUACAAGGGUUUAUCGUACGCAACAUUACCUUACAUUUCGAACCUAUGACCAAUCGGUUAACAUCGCACUAUUUGUAUACAUCCAUUAAUUUGCAAGGGAUUCAAUACCGAUUUUGAUGGAGACCAAAUGGUUAUUCAUGUUCCUGAAGUAGAGAUCCUUUUACUUAUGUUUUCUUGAAUCUUUUGUCUCAUAUAAUAUCUUGAUAAUCAGACGGAAAAAAUUUCUCCCAAACUAUGUUGGAUUCUGUAGCAGACAUAAAUGUUUGCGAGAUAGCUGAAGAUAUAGCAGCAUCUUUCGGCGACGUUAAGGAGAUAAUUUCCGAUAUACAACCUUCUGGCAGAGACUGAAAAAACUCCAUGGGAAAAUAUAUUGCUAUGAUCAUAUUAGUUUAAGUUGUACAUUAAAUUGAAACGGAGGGAGUAUUAUAUUAUUUUAUGUGAUAUACUGUACGGAACUUCUCCUUACACUUUUGCAAAGCUGUGCAGAACUAAGCCGAUGCCAUGCAUGAUAGGUAGAUAGACUUGAGAAAAGCAAUUGAAGAAGAUAAAUACAUCUAUACUCUUAGGACCCGUUUGUCCAUAAAAAAAAAUUUCUUUUUCGAUUUUAUUUUUCAAAAAUGUGUUUGUCCAUAAAAUUUUUAAAACUUUUUCAAAAAUGAGAUUUACAAAAAUCAAAAGGUGAUUUUGACGUAAAAUUUUCAUUUUUUUUUCCCCACUCACAAAACUACAAACAUUUUUUCAAGUGAAAUACAUAUCCAAACAUAAUUUCAAAUUGCAAAUACCAUUUUCCAACUUAACAGUCUACUCGUUCUUCACAAAUGGUCUACUUGUUCUUCAAAACUGUCUUCCUCUACCUCCUUCCUCCUCCUCCUCCUCCUCCUCUUCUUCUUCUUCUUCCUCCUCCUCCGGACGAAACUCCAUUCCUUGAACAAUGAGGCCAGCUUUUCCAUCGAGAUGUAUAAUCUCCAUUAAUCGAAGAAAAUAUAAAACCUGGAGUCCGGGUGAGGUAACCAUUCCCAAUACUGUGGUGUAUCACCCCAUGUAAUACCAAGUUCUCUUGCUGCCACCAUAAAACAUUUUUUCCCAGUCUUCUUAUCCAGUGAAAAACUCUAUUUGACAUAUCAAAUCACAGAUACACGAAACAUCUGGAA
Nicotiana tabacum (common tobacco) is the source of this 1878-nucleotide non-coding RNA. The record is from RefSeq and is a predicted model, not a curated record. Lineage: Eukaryota; Viridiplantae; Streptophyta; Magnoliopsida; Solanales; Solanaceae.